UGGCUCCCAAUGUGGGGCUUGAGAACAGGGGACUUCAUGAGAGACACUUUUUGUGGGCCCAAAGUAGAAAAAAAGGAAAAGAAGAUAGAGGACCUGAUGACAUGGGAGCCUGCCAUGCCUUGCUGAACCUCGUUAAGUGAACAGCAAUUAUGGGACAGGAAAUUAGCCAGCAUGAGAUUUUUGUUGAAAGUUUAGGAAAGGCUUUAAAGAUGCAGAGAAUAAAGGAUAAAAUUAAACAAUUGUGUCCAUUAGGGCUUAAUAAAUCUU
This is a regulatory RNA element of Cavia porcellus (domestic guinea pig), 267 nucleotides long. It matches the Rfam family "Mason-Pfizer monkey virus packaging signal". Rfam says of the family: The packaging signal is located in the 5' UTR and is required for specific RNA encapsidation. NCBI's taxonomy places the organism in Eukaryota, Metazoa, Chordata, Mammalia, Rodentia, Caviidae. The record is from Rfam.